Molecule: long non-coding RNA, 1542 nt
Organism: Lolium perenne
Lineage: Eukaryota; Viridiplantae; Streptophyta; Magnoliopsida; Poales; Poaceae
Source: RefSeq, a predicted model, not a curated record
GGGACAGGAGACGUGCUGUCUACCAAAAAGUAGUAGGGGCUCUGUCCUCCAUCCCCAACCCUCUCCCCCGUGUUCCCUGAUGUUCUAGCCGCCGACGCGCAGAUAGCUCCCGCCGUGCUCCGUCGCCGACGUCGCCGCCGUCCGCCGUGCGACGUCUCCGCCGUCGCUAGCUAGCCGUCCACGCCGCCGUCGCCAGCGCACGUCUUCGCCAUGCGCCGUCCCCGCCGUCGCCAUCGUACGUCUUCGCCGUGCGUCAUCCCCGUGCGCCGGCCCUACCGUCGCCAGCGAGCUAUCAACGACGCCGACGUCGCCAUCGUACGUCUUCGCCGUGCAUCGUCCCCAUGCGCCGGCCCUGCCGUCGCCAGCGAGCCGUCCACACGCGCCGCCGACUCGCAGGCAAUGGCCGCGGGGGCAACAACAGAGCGGACCGUUCCCCAUUGUUUGGAAGGGGCAAGGGGGUGAAUCCUCAAGUUUCUUCUCCCCUGUACCCAAGUACAUUGGCUAGCUGAUUCCUUCGCCGGGGGCUGCGUAAGGUGGCGAAUCGAGCAUCUCCGCCCAAGCAGGCACCACCGACGCCGAGGGAAUAGGUGCUGAAGGCUCUGUCUUCGACGCCGUGGCCAGGGAAGAAGGGUCGAGCCACGAAGGGUUCGGCGGCAACGAGCUGGGCUGCAGCAUGGACGAGCGCCUGUCUCCAAAUUUCGACGGUGCUGCUGCCCCAUCUGCUACAAGCGCCGGUGUCCAAGAGGGGGCCGGCGACGAGGACGACGUCGGGAUCGGGAAGUCGAGUUCAAGAAAAAAGCAAUGGCUGCCAUAGCCCAUAACAAGUUAUGGAGGGAGUGACGACGCACCAUGGGGAGCUUCUUCGCGCGAAGGGGCGCCGUCGAGCGGGUCAUGCGCGGUGGCGCCAUGGAGGAGUAGGCGAGGUGGGGGCGUUGGGCAACGGAGGAGCGGGCGAUGUGACGGAGGCAACGCGGGCCUGUCCUGGGCCAGGUUGUCGCGGCAGCUGCGCGCGUCCACCUGAGCGGCCGAUGAAGCGACGGCGACCGGGGCAGAACAGCGUGCGCCAGCUCCAAGUGGCUCGUGGCCUUCACGCAGCUCCUUGUCAACCCCUCGUCCUACAUGCCAUGUCAGCUCGUGCGGGAGCUUGACCUCGUCGCGCUGCUGCUAGCGCUGCCGCCGCAGGAGCUGCUCAAGCAAUGGUCCUCCCCGCGGCUGGGCAAGACGGAGCAUGGCGUCUGAAAAGUGCCGUCGUCCAAGGAGAAGGCGGCGAGGGAGCCCACGCUCAUGGUGCUCGACCUGCCGAAGUUGGCGCUGAACCGCGUGCUCGAGGAGGUGUCCCCGGCGUCGCUUUCCGCCAUGGCGUGCUUCUGCGCGAGGCUCAGGCUUGUUCCUCUGGUUUAGUCGUGUGUUGACAGUUAGUUAAACAGCAGCGGGCAGACUGUUUUUAGGAUCCUUUAUGUCCGACUACCACUGGCGUGUAAGCUGUUUCAUGUUGUGUUUUGUCAAUGAUAAUGAUCAAUAAAAAUGCCGGCGGCGAGUAAU